RNAcentral lists this long non-coding RNA (777 nucleotides) under Equus caballus (horse). Its description in RNAcentral is "lncRNA (ENSECAG00000057269.1)". Lineage: Eukaryota; Metazoa; Chordata; Mammalia; Perissodactyla; Equidae. The record is from RNAcentral.
CGCCCAUGGAUGGGAUGUCCUCUGGUCCUCAGGCCUCAGUUGCAGAAGCUGCUUCUAGGGGGUGAUGGGCUGGCUCCUGGGAACUGCUCACCUAUGGAAAUACACAAGAAAUAGACCAGAGGUUGCCUGAUGAGCAGGACACGGCCCCAGGAGGCAGGUGAUGCUAGUGAUGUUGGAGGAAUGCUUUAGAGAAAUUCGUGUGGGGCAAGAAAAGCUAAAGUGUCAACUGGCUGGGCAAACAGCAUCCAGGGAGGUUUUGCUUAAGUGUUUUAAGGUGAGAGAUGUUGGGUUUAAUCCCAAUGGCAAGGGUACCUCGAGAGGGAAAGAGUGAGGAUGGGGGACAUUGAAAGGGAACAGCAAGAGGUGGGGAGGAGAUCAGGAGGGGCAGAGCCUCCCUAGUAACUGUGGAGGGAGGAGGUAGAGUGUAAGGAAGGCAGGCUUGGGGUUUGGUGAUGCAACACGAGCCUCCCAUCUGAUGGCUUCUGUUUUUCCUGUGUAGCACUGGGGUCAGAGGUUUGAGGAGACUGCAGAGUGGAAGAGAGCUGACCAGAUGUCAGCAGGCUGGGUAGUGAGGGGGGCCUCCAUCUGGGUUUGCCAGAUGGGGACAAUGAAAACAAAAUCAGGGAGGUGGGGGUCGACAACAUUGGCUGGAUGACAAGUGAUGAGAGCCACGCUGGGUGGGGGUAAAAGGACAGAAGGAAGAAACCAAAAGGCCGUGGGACCCAGGAGAGUCACUCCCUGCUGGGAGGAGAGAGGCACUAAGGGAGGCACAGUCCC